GUUCAAACACCAGUUCCCAUACAAUCAUGAAAGUUAAGCAAUGUCAAACCUGGUCAGUACUGAGAUGGGUGACCACUUGGAAAUACCAGGUGCU
Molecule: non-coding RNA, 94 nt
Organism: Acanthosepion pharaonis
Lineage: Eukaryota; Metazoa; Mollusca; Cephalopoda; Sepiida; Sepiidae
Source: the annotation of a GenBank genome assembly